GACGAACGCUGGCGGCGUGCCUAAUACAUGCAAGUAGAACGCACAGUUUAUACCGUAGCUUGCUACACCAUAAACUGUGAGUUGCGAACGGGUGAGUAACGCGUAGGUAACCUGCCUGGUAGCGGGGGAUAACUAUUGGAAACGAUAGCUAAUACCGCAUAAUAUUCAUUAUUGCAUGAUAAUUGAUUGAAAGAUGCAAUUGCAUCACUACCAGAUGGACCUGCGUUGUAUUAGCUAGUAGGUGAGGUAACGGCUCACCUAGGCGACGAUACAUAGCCGACCUGAGAGGGUGAUCGGCCACACUGAGACUGAGACACGGCCCAGACUCCUACGGGAGGCAGCAGUAGGGAAUCUUCGGCAAUGGACGAAAGUCUGACCGAGCAACGCCGCGUGAGUGAAGAAGGUUUUCGGAUCGUAAAGCUCUGUUGUAAGAGAAGAACGGGUGUGAGAGUGGAAAGUUCACACUGUGACGGUAUCUUACCAGAAAGGGACGGCUAACUACGUG
This 505-nucleotide ribosomal RNA is filed under the name uncultured bacterium. RNAcentral's name for it is "partial 16S ribosomal RNA". It matches the Rfam family "Bacterial small subunit ribosomal RNA", at positions 28 to 507 of the family's 1533-position model. The record is from RNAcentral.